GAGUACCAGCACUGAGCUGCUCAGUACAAUGAUGACACACACACUGAUCCACACAGUGAAGUUCCAGCAUUGUACCGGAGCAUCAUGGAUGCAAUCCUUCACAAGAAUGUCCCAGGUCAAUCCAGAAGGACACUGCUGCAUUUCCAUCACCUGAGAAGACUGCCAACAAUGCUAAUGCCAAAGUCAAUGCGCCAAUAAAAAGCUGUUCACUCAGG
This is a long non-coding RNA of Ictalurus punctatus (channel catfish), 215 nucleotides long. RefSeq lists it as uncharacterized. Lineage: Eukaryota; Metazoa; Chordata; Actinopteri; Siluriformes; Ictaluridae. The transcript has 2 exons. The record is from RefSeq and is a predicted model, not a curated record.